AACGAACGCUGGCGGCAUGCCUAACACAUGCAAGUCGAACGAGACCUUCGGGUCUAGUUGCGCACGGGUGCGUAACGCGUGGGAACCUGCCCUUAGGUUCGGAAUAACUCAGAGACAUUUGAGCUAAUACCGGAUAAUGUCCUCGGACCAAAGAUUUAUCGCCUUUGGAUGGGCCCGCGUAGGAUUAGCUUGUUGGUGGGGUAAUGGCCUACCAAGGCGACGAUCCUUAGCUGGUCUGAGAGGUUGAUCAGCCACACUGGGACUGAGACACGGCCCAGACUCCUACGGGAGGCAGCAGUGGGGAAUAUUGGACAAUGGGCGAAGGCCUGAUCCAGCAAUGCCGCGUGAGUGAUGAAGGCCUUAGGGUUGUAAAGCUCUUUUACCAGGGAUGAUAAUGACGGUACCUGGAGAAUAAGCUCCGGCUAACUCCGUG
RNAcentral lists this ribosomal RNA (433 nucleotides) under uncultured bacterium. RNAcentral's name for it is "partial 16S ribosomal RNA". It matches the Rfam family "Bacterial small subunit ribosomal RNA", at positions 29 to 507 of the family's 1533-position model. The record is from RNAcentral.